This 85-nucleotide transfer RNA is filed under the name Felis catus (domestic cat). It matches the Rfam family "tRNA". Rfam says of the family: Transfer RNA (tRNA) molecules are approximately 80 nucleotides in length. The record is from Rfam by way of RNAcentral. Lineage: Eukaryota; Metazoa; Chordata; Mammalia; Carnivora; Felidae.
GCCUGGGUGGCUCAGUCGGUUAAGCAUCCAACUUCGGCUUGGGUCAUGAUCUCACAGUUUGUGGGUUCGAGCCCCACAUUGGGCU